UAUUGGGCCUAAGCGUCGUAGCUGGCGACAAGUCUACCGGGAAAUCCACCCGCCCAACGGGUGGGCGUCCGGUAGAAACUGGCCGGCUUGGAACCGGAAGGCUCAGAGAGUACGUCCGGGGUAGGAGUGAAAUCCCGUAAUCCCGGACGGACUACCGAUGGCGAAAGCACUCUGAGAAGACGGCUUCGACAGUGAGGGACGAAAGCUCGGGUCUCAAACC
RNAcentral lists this ribosomal RNA (220 nucleotides) under uncultured archaeon. RNAcentral's name for it is "partial 16S ribosomal RNA". It matches the Rfam family "Archaeal small subunit ribosomal RNA", at positions 502 to 725 of the family's 1478-position model. The record is from RNAcentral.